Molecule: long non-coding RNA, 467 nt
Organism: Trichomycterus rosablanca
Lineage: Eukaryota; Metazoa; Chordata; Actinopteri; Siluriformes; Trichomycteridae
Exons: 3
Source: RefSeq, a predicted model, not a curated record
AAAUAUGCUGAGGUGUUGCUGGUUGGUCACGAAAGUUUUGCUACACCGUUAUCAAGGUGUACUAAAGCUGCUAAACUGUUGUUUAUCUGCCCCCUGGGUGUACACAGCCAUGGACCAGUCCACACAGCGUGCAAAGCCUUCUUUCAGCAAGAGCUCUGUGAUGUUCCCAUUCUGUAAAAAAGUGAAAUUAAUGUAAAAAAAAAAAAAUGGCGAAAAAGUAAAAAUACAUAAUGGAUAAAGAAGGAAUAAGCAUUACAAGAUCUGGAUCAGGAUCUGAAUACCAUGUAUUCACAUUCUGGAGGUGUUCCUGACAAGGUCAACCUCUGCCUGUCUCUGGCCCAAACAAGGGAAAAUAGAGUCCAAGCACUUGGCCCGAUGCAAACACAUUGGCAAGCCUGACAGCACAUGUACAUUUAGAACACUGAUGCCUGGUUUCACCCUGACAAGGACAAAUGAAAUAAAAUGCU